GACGAACGCUGGCGGCGUGCUUAACACAUGCAAGUCGAACGGAAAGGCCCUGCUUUUGUGGGGUGCUCGAGUGGCGAACGGGUGAGUAACACGUGAGUAACCUGCCCUUGACUUUGGGAUAACUUCAGGAAACUGGGGCUAAUACCGGAUAGGAGCUCCUGCUGCAUGGUGGGGGUUGGAAAGUUUCGGCGGUUGUGGAUGGACUCGCGGCUUAUCAGCUUGUUGGUGGGGUAGUGGCUUACCAAGGCUUUGACGGGUAGCCGGCCUAGAGGGUGACCGGCCACAUUGGGACUGAGAUACGGCCCAGACUCCUACGGGAGGCAGCAGUGGGGAAUAUUGCACAAUGGGCGGAAGCCUGAUGCAGCAACGCCGCGUGCGGGAUGACGGCCUUCGGGUUGUAAACCGCUUUCGCCUGUGACGAAGCGUGAGUGACGGUAAUGGGUAAAGAAGCACCGGCUAACUACGUG
RNAcentral lists this ribosomal RNA (467 nucleotides) under uncultured bacterium. RNAcentral's name for it is "partial 16S ribosomal RNA". It matches the Rfam family "Bacterial small subunit ribosomal RNA", at positions 28 to 507 of the family's 1533-position model. The record is from RNAcentral.